Molecule: ribosomal RNA, 2817 nt
Filed under: Triticum aestivum (bread wheat)
Lineage: Eukaryota; Viridiplantae; Streptophyta; Magnoliopsida; Poales; Poaceae
Description: partial small subunit ribosomal RNA
Source: RNAcentral
AUGGCGACGGAGGCGGAAGAAGACAUCAAGUUCCUGUGGAAGUGGCGCAAGUACCUGCUGCUGCUCGCCACGCUGGUCGCCGGUGUCACCUACGUGGCGGGGCUCAACCCGCCGGGCGGCGUGAGGUCGGAGGAGGCCGACCCUGACCCACCGGCGCCGGCGCCGGUGGUCUACCCGCACCGCGUCGGCGACCCGGUGCUCGCGGCCACCUACUCGGCCAGGUACUCCGCCUUCUUCUACUGCAACGCCGCCGCCUUCGUCGCGUCCCUGGUGGUCAUCAUGUUCCUGCUGGACCGGCGCAUCAGCGGCAGCCGCGUCGGCCUCACCGUGCUCCGCUCCGCCAUGCUGCUCGACCUGCUCGCCCUCAUGGCCUCCUUCGCCGCGGGGAGCUGCCGCGACGUGGUCGCCUCCGUGUACGUCUCCGCGCUCUUCGCGCUCGUCUUCGCCUACGUCGCCAUCCACGUCUGCGUUUCCUCAUCAAGUCCGAGGCGGUUGCUGCUCCGGAAGCUGGCGGACUCCGGCGUCUCGCCGAGCUCCGUUUCCUCCUCUAGUCCGAGAGGGGUGCUGCUCCAGAAGCUGGCGGACUCCGGCGUAGUUUCGCCGGGCUCGGAGGAGGAGAGGCUCAAGCUCAAGGAGCGGCGCAAGUUCCUCCUGCUGCUCGCCACAUUCGCGACGCCGCUGACGUACGGCGCGGGCCUGGCGCCGCCGGGGGGCUUCUGGAGCAAGAGCGUGGACGGGCACAUCGCCGGCGCCCCGCUGCUGCACGACGGCCGGUACAAGAUCCGGUACCACGCCUUCUUCUACGCCAACGCCACGUCCUUCGUGGCGUCCCUCGCCAUCAUCAUGCUGCUGAUGAGCAGGACGCUGAGCCACCUCCUCGCCCGGUCGUACGCGCUGCCGGUGUGCGUCCUGGUGGAGUUGCUCGGCCUCAUGGCCGCCUACGCCGCCGGGAGCUGCAGGAGGGUCGACACCACCGUCUACAUCGUCUCCCUCGCCGGCGCUGUGCUCCUCAACAUCCUGCUGCAGGCCGCCGUCGCGCUGCUCGCCAUGGACACGUUCCACUUCCAACGGUGGCGCAAAGUCAUCUGCGAUGUACUAACCUGCGCCAGCUGCUUGGAUAGGAAAAGGAAAAGGAUGCCGGGUAGUGCUGCUACUAAUGCCACGGCGACGGUCCCGGCCACACCCCCGCAAGGUGUAGAGAGCAAGAACGGCGCUCUCGCAGCAGAGGAGGAGAAGUCGGAGGAGGAGGAGGAAAGGGAGGAGUCGCGGUCGCUACUCCUGCUGCUGGCCACGCUCGCCGCGACGGUGACCUACCAGGCAGGGCUGAGCCCGCCGGGCGGCGUCUGGCAGGAAGGCCAACCGCAUCGCACACCGGGGGACCCGAUUCUCCUCGACAUAAGUCCCAUGAGGUACAAGGCGUUCUACCACUGUAACACGGCGGCGUUGGCGGCAUCGCUGGUCGUCAUCGUCAUCGUGCAGAGCAAGGAGCUGAGCUCGGGCGCCGCCCUCAAGGGCACCGCGCUCAAGACGGCCAUGAUACUGAACCUGUUCGGCCUCAUGGGCGCGUACGCCGCCGGGAGCUGCCGGGACGCCUCCACCACCAUCUACGUCUCUGCCCUGGCCGUCGCCGUCUUCGUCUACUCCAUCGCCAAGGUCGUGGCGUACACGCUUACUGGGCGUAGCAGCUGGCUGAUGGACCGGGUGCACGACAUGUCCGACACGCUUGCAGGGUGGCUCCAGCUCUCGGGCGACAACCAGCCCAAACUGGACCUCGAGAAGAAGCGUAAGUUCUUGCUGCAGCUCGCCAUCCUCGCCGCCACCGUCACGUACCAAACCGGGCUGAACCCGCCGGGCGGGUUCUGGCCGGAGAGCAAGGAGGAGAGGAAGCUCAUCGCCGGGGACCCGAUCCUGCUCGACUACUACUGGAGCAGGUACCAGGUUUUCUUCUACUGCAACGCGACGGGGUUCAUGGCGUCGGUGGCCGUCAUCCUCCUGCUGGUGAACCAGACGCUGUACAAGCAGGUCAUUCGGAGCAACGCGCUCCACGUCUGCAUCGUGGUGGGGCUGCUGGGCCUCAUUGGUGCCUACGCCGCCGGCAGCUGCCGGAAACUACGCACGUCCAUCUACGUCUUCGCGCUCGUGGCCCUGGUGGUCGCCUUCCUCAUCCUGCAGAUCCUGCUUUUCGUGUCAGCAGACCGCUUCCAUUGGUCAGAGCUGCAAUGUCUUCCGACGUGGCUCCGAAGGCUAUUUGAGCCGCUGUCUUCGUCGCCGGCAGGCAGCGACGGCGAGAAUAACAAGAGCAAGCAACACCAAAAAAGCAGCGAGGACUACAUGAAACGCAAGUACCUGAUGCUGCUCGGCAUCCUGGCCGCGAGCGUGACGUACCAGGCGGGUCUCGCGCCUCCGGGCGGCACGUGGGGCGACGACGCGCCGGCGCCGACACGGACGGCGACGGGCAACCCGGUGCUGCUCGACACCCACGGGGCGCGGUACCAGGCCUUCUUCUACUGCAACGCGACGUCGUUCAUGGCGUCCGUCGUGGUGACCAUGCUGCUGCUCCAGCGCACGGUGAAGCGGCGCGGCGCGCCGCUGUGGGCGAUGCAGGCCGCCGUGGUGCUGGACCUGCUGGGGCUGCUGGGCGCGUACGCCGCCGGCAGCUGCAGGAACCUGGAGACGUCCGCGUACGUGAUCGCGGUGGUGGCCGGCGUGGUCGUGUUCGUCACGCUGCACGUGCUGCUGUCGUUCGACGCCGUGGUCACCAGGGCCAAGGAGCUCAGGGUGGUCAGGUACUUGGGGUCGGGAGGGAGCGGUUCCUGA